Molecule: ribosomal RNA, 313 nt
Filed under: Schizochytrium aggregatum
Lineage: Eukaryota; Bigyra; Thraustochytrida; Thraustochytriidae
Description: partial Bacterial large subunit ribosomal RNA
Rfam family: Bacterial large subunit ribosomal RNA
Source: RNAcentral
GAAAGCGAGCCUGAAUAGGGCGCACAGUCAGUGGGGGUAGACGCGAAACCAAGUGAUCUACACUUGCCCAGGUUGAAGUCCGGGUAACACCGGAUGGAGGACCGCACGGAUAAGCGUUGAAAAGCUUCCCGAUGAGGUGAGUGUAGGAGUGAAAGGCCAAUCAAACUUGGAGAUAGCUCGUACUCCCCGAAAGGCAUUUAGGUGCCGCGUGCAUCGAUUUCCAUAAGAGGUAGAGCGACCGAUAGGUCAAGAGGGCUUCACCGCCUAUCGAGACCUGACGAACUCCGAAUGCUUAUGGACAGCAGAUGUGCAG